This 449-nucleotide ribosomal RNA is filed under the name uncultured Glomus. RNAcentral describes it as "SSU rRNA". It matches the Rfam family "Eukaryotic small subunit ribosomal RNA", at positions 569 to 1025 of the family's 1831-position model. The record is from RNAcentral. Lineage: Eukaryota; Fungi; Glomeromycota; Glomeromycetes; Glomerales; Glomeraceae.
AGCAGCCGCGGUAAUUCCAGCUCCAAUAGCGUAUAUUAAAGUUGUUGCAGUUAAAAAGCUCGUAGUUGAAUUUCGGGAUCAAUAUAUCGGUCGUGCCUUGGUACGUACUGGUAUCAUUGGUUUCUCCUUUCUGACGAACCAUGAUGUCAUUAAUUUGGUGUUAUGGGAAGUUAGGACUGUUACUUUGAAAAAUUAGGGUGUUUAAAGCAGGCUUUAGCUUGAAUACAUUAGCAUGGAAUAAUGAAAUAGGACGUUCGAACCUAUUUUGUUGGUUUCUAGGAUCAACGUAAUGAUUAAUAGGGAUAGUUGGGGGCAUUAGUAUUCAAUUGUCAGAGGUGAAAUUCUUGGAUUUAUUGAAGACUAACUACUGCGAAAGCAUUUGCCAAGGAUGUUUUCAUUAAUCAAGACGAAAGUUAGGGGAUCGAAGACGAUCAGAUACCGUCGUAGUC